This 1523-nucleotide long non-coding RNA is filed under the name Equus caballus (horse). RNAcentral describes it as "lncRNA (ENSECAG00000050136.1)". Lineage: Eukaryota; Metazoa; Chordata; Mammalia; Perissodactyla; Equidae. The record is from RNAcentral.
AAGACCAGCCCGGUGGCGCAGUGGUUAAGCGCGCAUGUUCUACUUCAGCAGCCCAGGGUUCACAGGUUCAGUCCCAGGUGUGGACAUGGCACUGCUUGUCAAGCCAUGCUGUGGAAGCCAUCCCACAUAUGAGGUAGAGGAAGAUGGGCACAGAUGUUAGCUCAGGGCCAGUCUUCCUCAGCAAAAACAGGGGGAUUGGCAGGAGUUAGCUCAGGGCUAAUCUUCCUCAAAAAAAAAAAAAAAGUAGGAGGGAGUAAGGAGAAAUAAACACUCAAACUUCUCUCUCUUCUCAUCCCCUGUUCUCCUGCUACUUUCUUCCAACGGCUUAACCCAACAAAAAUUCAGAGGACAUGGAAGCCUGCGUGAUGAAUUCUAUUUUGGUCAGCUUCUACGGUCACUGGGGAGGAGAGAGAAAGAUGGAUGCAGCAGUUAUGGGCAUCAUCUCCUCUCAAGACCUCAUAAAAGUCAGAAAUUGGAAGUUAUAGAAGAUUACUUCUGCUUGGAACUGCAUCUGAGCUCUUCUAGGGAAGAUGGAAUUUGAUACCACACCAAUUCAUUUACUUCUUUUCAACUGGAUCUUCAGAAUAGCAAUUUUUGUAUUUAUUUAUAAUGUUUAUCAUUUCCCUAAUGCUAAUUUAAUCUCUUUGAAAAAAAAUCUUCAGGCUUGUAAUAAAUGAUACACUGGGAAAUAGGGAAUUGAUAAUACUCACUGAUUUUAAACUCUGACUGAAAUUCCAGUUUAAAUCUACACUUAGGAAUUAUUUAUAUCCUCUUAUGUCAUAUCAAUUUAAAUAAUAUCCCACUCACUGGGGCAUAAAGAAUAAUGCUAAUAUUAAAGUUUCUAUUUAAUAUUUGCUAAUUGCACAUGAAGAGGUUAUAUCAGUUGCAUUUAGGAUGUUUUUAAUUUAAUUUUACUGUAUUGGAAAAUCCAUGAGGUUAAGUCUCCUGAAAUUAUUGCUUUUAAAUAUUGAAUAAUAAGAAUAUUGUCCCCAUGAUGCACCCUGAAUCAUGUGGCCUUGGAUAAGCUUUCUCCCUGUUGCAAAGAGAGAGGAAUAGCAGAGUGCUUAGUUUAAUAUUGUUAAUAAAUAAGAAUGAUCAUACUCCCAUUUUAAAAUACCAAAUCUGUAUUUAAAAAGCUGUUUUUUCAUGAAAUAUGUCCAUCAUCGACAGGGUUAUAGACUUUUUUAGAACCAAAAUCUCAUGAAAAUGAAAUAAAUGUUAUUGCUGCAAAGUUGGCUUCUAUCCUAAAGGGAUGCAUAUAAACCACAGUUAGUGUCCUACCUCAAACUCUUCACUUGAUCUUCGAUUUUUCAAUCGUUCAAUAAACUUCAAUUGAAUGGCUCCAAAGUGAGGCAGAGCAGUGAGGAUGGAAGGAGACUUAGGCCCCAUAUCAAGACACAGCCACACACCCUUGUGAGCUGUGUGCCCUUGGGUACGUUGCCUGACUUCUCUGCGCCUUGGUAGUUCCUUUGUCUGUAAAAUGGAAAUAACAAUCCUAUUUUGGAGGGCUUUUUUUUUUUUUU